GGAUACUUAGCUCAGUUGGUAGAGCACCGGACUUUUAAUCCGGGGGUCGUAGGUUCGAGCCCUGCAGUCUCCA
RNAcentral lists this transfer RNA (73 nucleotides) under Parvimonas micra. Its description in RNAcentral is "tRNA-Lys". It matches the Rfam family "tRNA". Rfam says of the family: Transfer RNA (tRNA) molecules are approximately 80 nucleotides in length. The record is from RNAcentral. Lineage: Bacteria; Bacillati; Bacillota; Tissierellia; Tissierellales; Peptoniphilaceae.